This 541-nucleotide ribosomal RNA is filed under the name uncultured bacterium. RNAcentral's name for it is "bacterial SSU rRNA". It matches the Rfam family "Bacterial small subunit ribosomal RNA", at positions 103 to 643 of the family's 1533-position model. The record is from RNAcentral.
CGGGUGCGUAACGCGUAUGCAACCUACCUUUAACAGGGGGAUAACACUGAGAAAUUGGUACUAAUACCCCAUAACAUCAUGAAAGGCAUCUUUUAUGGUUGAAAAUUCCGAUGGUUAGAGAUGGGCAUGCGUUGUAUUAGCUAGUUGGUGAGGUAACGGCUCACCAAGGCGACGAUACAUAGGGGGACUGAGAGGUUAACCCCCCACACUGGUACUGAGACACGGACCAGACUCCUACGGGAGGCAGCAGUGAGGAAUAUUGGUCAAUGGACGCAAGUCUGAACCAGCCAUGCCGCGUGCAGGAUGACGGCUCUAUGAGUUGUAAACUGCUUUUGUACUAGGGUAAACUCACCUACGUGUAGGUGACUGAAAGUAUAGUACGAAUAAGGAUCGGCUAACUCCGUGCCAGCAGCCGCGGUAAUACGGAGGAUUCAAGCGUUAUCCGGAUUUAUUGGGUUUAAAGGGUGCGUAGGCGGUUUGAUAAGUUAGAGGUGAAAUGUUAGGGCUCAACCCUGAAACUGCCUCUAAUACUGUUGGACUA